CUUGCUCCCCGAAAGAAAAGGAGUGGCGAACGGGUGAGUAACACGUGGGUAACCUGCCCAUCAGAAGGGGAUAACACUUGGAAACAGGUGCUAAUACCGUAUAACAAUCGAAACCGCAUGGUUUCGGUUUGAAAGGCGCUUUUGCGUCACUGAUGGAUGGACCCGCGGUGCAUUAGCUAGUUGGUGAGGUAACGGCUCACCAAGGCAACGAUGCAUAGCCGACCUGAGAGGGUGAUCGGCCACAUUGGGACUGAGACACGGCCCAAACUCCUACGGGAGGCAGCAGUAGGGAAUCUUCGGCAAUGGACGCAAGUCUGACCGAGCAACGCCGCGUGAGUGAAGAAGGUUUUCGGAUCGUAAAACUCUGUUGUUAGAGAAGAACAAGGAUGAGAGUAGAAUGUUCAUCCCUUGACGGUAUCUAACCAGAAAGCCACGGCUAACUACGUGCCAGCAGCCGCGGUAAUACGUAGGUGGCAAGCGUU
Molecule: ribosomal RNA, 482 nt
Filed under: Enterococcus sp. HGB0100
Lineage: Bacteria; Bacillati; Bacillota; Bacilli; Lactobacillales; Enterococcaceae
Description: bacterial SSU rRNA
Rfam family: Bacterial small subunit ribosomal RNA
Source: RNAcentral